UUAAAUUGAAGAGUUUGAUCAUGGCUCAGAUUGAACGCUGGCGGCAGGCCUAACACAUGCAAGUCGAACGGUAACAGGAAUCAGCUUGCUGAUUCGCUGACGAGUGGCGGACGGGUGAGUAAUGUCUGGGAAACUGCCUGAUGGAGGGGGAUAACUACUGGAAACG
RNAcentral lists this ribosomal RNA (166 nucleotides) under Escherichia coli. Its description in RNAcentral is "partial 16S ribosomal RNA". It matches the Rfam family "Bacterial small subunit ribosomal RNA", at positions 1 to 158 of the family's 1533-position model. The record is from RNAcentral. Lineage: Bacteria; Pseudomonadati; Pseudomonadota; Gammaproteobacteria; Enterobacterales; Enterobacteriaceae.